GUCUUAUGCAGCUCUCCAAAUAAUGCUGUAAGGUAGCAUUGUGGAAACUGAAACCCCUAAAAGUUAACUUGGUGGUAGCUUGUAAUUGAGAAAUAGAAUGUAAACCAAGGUGGUUAUACUUAAUGCCCUGUGCUCUUAAAACAGUAUCAUGCUGCCUCCUUGGAGGAAUCCUUAAUUCAAGUAGGAAGAUUUUUCCUUAUUACAUCUUUGCGACUAAGUUACUGUUUUUAUGACUUUAGGCAAAUCAAUUGAACUGAGCAAGGAAGGUCUUGAUUCAAUGAUUUCUCAAGUCCUUUUUCCUUUUUUUUUUUUUUGUCAAGGGAGUGUCCUCUAGCUGAGUGAAGUCAUUUUUCCUUGAAUGACUGACAGAAUGGCUUUGGUUCACCUGUAAUUCACAGUUUAGCUGAUCCAGUGUACUGUAAAGUCUGUUUCACUCCACCAGCCAACAAGGAGCAGGCGGCCGUGGUUUUCUCAUGUUCUGGGGGAAGCUGUUUGUCAGUGUUAACCUGGCUAACUUUGGACAGCUGCAACAACAACAUCUAUCCCUUGGCAUAUGGUGUGUUUAGAUGCUAAACACUGCCUCAUCUGUGAGUACUUCAGUUUUUGUUUAUAGCGAAGGACUCUCGCCAUGUUGCCCAGACUCAUCUCAAACUACUGGACCCAGACAAUCCUCACACUUUGGCCUCCCAAAAUGCUGAGAUUACAGGCUUACCUAAAGUUAACAUCUGAUGACAUGAUCGCAACUCCAUAUCCUGAGUUGAUUUCAACCUAUGAUGUUGGAAUUUUCCACAUGGAGAUAAACACUGGGAAGCAGCUAAUCAUUCUCUCUGGAUUUAUAAGGAACAAAUGGAUAAGUGAAACUUGAAAACAAUGGCCAAAGUACUAAGAACUAAUGUUUCUUCAACAAAACAAAUACUUUUACUUUAAGAACAGAAGAUAAAAGGCCAAAGUUGUAAUAUAAGACAAAUUACGGAAAUAUACACUUAUACAUAUAAAACCACUCCUCUUUUUAAAAAAUCAUGCUUUUUAAGAAGAAUCUUCUCAUAUCAGUGAGAAAGAAAGUUAUCUUAACAAACAAAAAGUAUUUUGAAAAAAAGCGUUCACAUGUAUAAGAAAGAAAAUGAACAAAUAAAUAGGAAAAAAGAUCUCUGGUUCAACCAUAUCAAAGCUUCUUCAUGUUUGUUAUUUUACUCUAAAGGACACCUCCCUGAUCUUGAACUGAUAAUACAGUUAAAAGAAUUAACAGAAAGAGAGAGGGAUAGAAAUGGUCACGUACAGAAUGAAAAAUAAAGGAAAUUUUUUUCUUAUUAUUUUCCUAAUUUGUCUUAAUUCAAAU
Molecule: long non-coding RNA, 1336 nt
Filed under: Homo sapiens (human)
Lineage: Eukaryota; Metazoa; Chordata; Mammalia; Primates; Hominidae
Description: non-protein coding LINC02471:7
Source: RNAcentral